Molecule: ribosomal RNA, 239 nt
Filed under: uncultured bacterium
Lineage: Bacteria
Description: partial 16S ribosomal RNA
Rfam family: Bacterial small subunit ribosomal RNA
Source: RNAcentral
UGGGGAAUAUUGCACAAUGGGCGAAAGCCUGAUGCAGCGACGCCGCGUGCGGGAUGAAGGCCUUCGGGUUGUAAACCGCUUUUAAUUGGGAGCAAGCGAGAGUGAGUGUACCUUUUGAAUAAGCACCGGCUAACUACGUGCCAGCAGCCGCGGUAAUACGUAGGGUGCAAGCGUUAUCCGGAAUUAUUGGGCGUAAAGAGCUCGUAGGCGGUUUGUCACGCCUGGUGUGAAAGUCCAUC